CCUCCUCCACCUCCAAUUGCAGAGCCCAAUUCUUCACGUCCUAUAGUCACUACGGACGUACAAAUUGCUGCUUUAAUGCAGCAAAUGAAAGUAUUGACGGAGGUGAUACACAACCUCCAACAACAACAAAUGCAGCAACAGCAGCAACCACUGGCAGAGAAAUUGAUGAUGCAUUCAGUGCCAUCCAGGCACAACCAACGUUCUCCACGACGAUCUCUUUCUCC
Molecule: long non-coding RNA, 224 nt
Filed under: Elaeis guineensis (African oil palm)
Lineage: Eukaryota; Viridiplantae; Streptophyta; Magnoliopsida; Arecales; Arecaceae
Description: long non-coding RNA (EGUI_LNC027305)
Source: RNAcentral